GGAAAGCAGACCAAAGACGGUGAAAGUCCGGUAGACGAAAUUUUGAGCCAGCUGACAGAAUCCAGAGUACCACGGGACACGAGAAACCCUGUGGGAAGCCGGGGGGACCACCCCCCAAGGCUAAAUACUCCUGACUGACCGAUAGUGAACCAGUACUGUGAAGGAAAGGUGAAAAGAACCCCGGGAGGGGAGUGAAAGAGAACCUGAAACCUUGUGCUUACAAACAGUCAGAGGGCUUUGUGCCUGAUGGCGUACUUUUUGUAGAACGGUCCGGCGAGUUACUAAUGCUAGCAAGGUUAAGUGGUCAGAAGCCACGGAGCCGAAGGGAAACCAAGUCUGAAUAGGGCGUAUAGUUAGUAUUAGUAGACCCGAAACCGGGUGACCUAUCCAUGUCCAGGUUGAAGGAGCCGUAAAAGGCUUUGGAGGACCGAACACACAUCUGUUGAAAAAGGUGGUGAUGAGGUGUGGAUAGCGGAGAAAUUCCAAUCGAACCCGGAGAUAGCUGGUUCUCCUCGAAAUAGCUUUAGGGCUAGCCUCGAGAGGAGUCUAACGGAGGUAAAGCACUGAACUGACGCGGGGCCCAAAAAGGUUACCAACUCAUAUCAAACUAAGAAUGCCGUAGAGAUACCCUCGGGAGUCAGUCUGCGUGAGAUAAGUCGCGUGGACAAAAGGGAAAGAGCCCAGACCUACAGCUAAGGUCCCAAAGUGCGUGUUAAGUGGAAAAGGAUGUGGGAUUUCACAGACAACUAGGAUGUUGGCUUAGAAGCAGCCACUCAUUUAAAGAGUGCGUAAUAGCUCACUAGUCGAGAAAACCUGCGCCGAAAAUGUAACGGGGCUAAAACACGUCACCGAAGCUACGGAUUUCCUACGAAGAGUAGGAAGUGGUAGAGGAGCAUCCUGCAAGGACGAAGCCAAAGUGAAAACAAUGGUGGACGAAACAGGAGAGAGAAUGCCGGAAUGAGUAGCGAGAUACAUGUGAGAAACAUGUAGGCCGAAUAUCUAAGGUUUCCUGAGUAAAGCUAAUCUUCUCAGGGUUAGUCGGGGCCUAAGGCGAGGUCGAAAGACGUAGUCGAUGGACAACAGGUUGAUAUUCCUGUACUACGUAUAAUCAGAACUGUGGGGACGCAGGAGGAUAGGAAAACCGGGGAAUGGAAAUACCCGGCUAAGCACAAAGUCAAGGGAGAUAGGCAAAUCCGUUUCCUGAUGAUGAAGUGCGAUGGGGACUGAAAAAAAGUAGGGAAGUUUCCGAAUCCACACUGCCAAGAAAAGCCGCUAUUGUAUUAUGCGUACCCGUACCGUAAACCGACACAGGUAGAUGAGGAGAAAAUCCACAGGCCGACGGGAGAAGUGUUGUUAAGGAACUCGGCAAAAUAACCCCGUAACUUAGGGAUAAGGGGAGCCACGAAAGUGGCCGCAGAAAAGAGGCUCAAGCGACUGUUUAGCAAAAACAUAGGUCUAUGCGAAACCGUAAGGUGAUGUAUAUGGGCUGACACCUGCCCGGUGCUGGAAGGUUAAGAGGAGAGGUUAGCGUAAGCGAAGCUUUGAAUUCAAGCCCCAGUAAACGGCGGCCGUAACUAUAACGGUCCUAAGGUAGCGAAAUUCCUUGUCAGGUAAGUUCUGACCCGCACGAAAGGUGUAACGAUUUGAGCACUGUCUCGACAACACGCCCGGUGAAAUUGAAGAACCAGUGAAGAUACUGGUUACCCGCAACAGGACGGAAAGACCCCAUGGAGCUUUACUGCAGCCUGAUACUGGGAUUCGAUGAUAUAUGUACAGGAUAGGAGGGAGGCUAUGAAGCCAGGACGCUAGUCUUGGUGGAGCCGCCGGUGGGAUACCUCUCUUAUGUCAUUGGAUUUCUAACCCAUGUCCAUUAUCUGGAUAGGGGACAAUGUCAGGCGGGCAGUUUGACUGGGGCGGUCGCCUCCUAAAAGGUAACGGAGGCGCUCGAAGGUCACCUCAGAAUGAUUGGAAACCAUUCAAAGAGUGUAAAGGCAAAAGGUGGCUUGACUGCGACAGCGACGGCUGGAGCAGGUACGAAAGUAGGACUUAGUGAUCCGGUGGUAAUAAGUGGGAAUGCCAUCGCUCAACGGAUAAAAGCUACCCUGGGGAUAACAGGCUUAUCUCCCCCAAGAGUUCACAUCGACGGGGAGGUUUGGCACCUCGAUGUCGGCUCAUCGCAUCCUGGGGCUGAAGUAGGUCCCAAGGGUUGGGCUGUUCGCCCAUUAAAGCGGUACGCGAGCUGGGUUCAGAACGUCGUGAGACAGUUCGGUCCCUA
This 2275-nucleotide ribosomal RNA is filed under the name bioreactor metagenome. Its description in RNAcentral is "bacterial LSU rRNA". It matches the Rfam family "Bacterial large subunit ribosomal RNA", at positions 345 to 2640 of the family's 2925-position model. The record is from RNAcentral.